RNAcentral lists this ribosomal RNA (253 nucleotides) under uncultured bacterium. Its description in RNAcentral is "partial 16S ribosomal RNA". It matches the Rfam family "Bacterial small subunit ribosomal RNA", at positions 524 to 776 of the family's 1533-position model. The record is from RNAcentral.
UACGUAGGGUGCAAGCGUUAAUCGGAAUUACUGGGCGUAAAGCGUGCGCAGGCGGUUCUGUAAGUCAGUUGUGAAAUCCCCGGGCUCAACCUAGGAACUGCAUCUGUGACUGCAUAGCUAGAGUACGGUAGAGGGGGAUGGAAUUCCGCGUGUAGCAGUGAAAUGCGUAGAUAUGCGGAGGAACACCGAUGGCGAAGGCAAUCCCCUGGACCUGUACUGACGCUCAUGCACGAAAGCGUGGGGAGCAAACAGG